ACUAUCAAAGGACAGUAGCUGAUCCGUUGGUCUUAGGAACCAAAAACCCUUGGUGCAAAUCCGAGUGAUAGUU
This 73-nucleotide transfer RNA is filed under the name Paraplagusia japonica (black cow-tongue). RNAcentral describes it as "tRNA-Leu". It matches the Rfam family "tRNA". From Rfam's summary of the family: Transfer RNA (tRNA) molecules are approximately 80 nucleotides in length. Their secondary structure includes four short double-helical elements and three loops (D, anti-codon, and T loops). Lineage: Eukaryota; Metazoa; Chordata; Actinopteri; Pleuronectiformes; Cynoglossidae. The record is from RNAcentral.